UUGCUUCAGCAGCACAUAUACUAAAAUUGUAACAAUACAGGGAGAAUUAGCAUGGCCUUUGUGCAAGGAUAACAUGCAAAUUCACGAAAUGCUCCAUAGUUUG
Molecule: small nuclear RNA, 103 nt
Organism: Phodopus roborovskii (desert hamster)
Lineage: Eukaryota; Metazoa; Chordata; Mammalia; Rodentia; Cricetidae
Source: RefSeq, a predicted model, not a curated record